This 1440-nucleotide ribosomal RNA is filed under the name uncultured organism. Its description in RNAcentral is "SSU rRNA". It matches the Rfam family "Bacterial small subunit ribosomal RNA". The record is from RNAcentral.
GCUCAGGAUGAACGCUAGCUACAGGCUUAACACAUGCAAGUCGAGGGGCAGCAUGGUCUUAGCUUGCUAAGGCCGAUGGCGACCGGCGCACGGGUGAGUAACACGUAUCCAACCUGCCGUCUACUCUUGGACAGCCUUCUGAAAGGAAGAUUAAUACAAGAUGGCAUCAUGAGUCCGCAUGUUCACAUGAUUAAAGGUAUUCCGGUAGACGAUGGGGAUGCGUUCCAUUAGAUAGUAGGCGGGGUAACGGCCCACCUAGUCUUCGAUGGAUAGGGGUUCUGAGAGGAAGGUCCCCCACAUUGGAACUGAGACACGGUCCAAACUCCUACGGGAGGCAGCAGUGAGGAAUAUUGGUCAAUGGGCGAGAGCCUGAACCAGCCAAGUAGCGUGAAGGAUGACUGCCCUAUGGGUUGUAAACUUCUUUUAUAAAGGAAUAAAGUCGGGUAUGCAUACCCGUUUGCAUGUACUUUAUGAAUAAGGAUCGGCUAACUCCGUGCCAGCAGCCGCGGUAAUACGGAGGAUCCGAGCGUUAUCCGGAUUUAUUGGGUUUAAAGGGAGCGUAGAUGGAUGUUUAAGUCAGUUGUGAAAGUUUGCGGCUCAACCGUAAAAUUGCAGUUGAUACUGGAUAUCUUGAGUGCAGUUGAGGCAGGCGGAAUUCGUGGUGUAGCGGUGAAAUGCUUAGAUAUCACGAAGAACUCCGAUUGCGAAGGCAGCCUGCUAAGCUGCAACUGACAUUGAGGCUCGAAAGUGUGGGUAUCAAACAGGAUUAGAUACCCUGGUAGUCCACACGGUAAACGAUGAAUACUCGCUGUUUGCGAUAUACAGCAAGCGGCCAAGCGAAAGCGUUAAGUAUUCCACCUGGGGAGUACGCCGGCAACGGUGAAACUCAAAGGAAUUGACGGGGGCCCGCACAAGCGGAGGAACAUGUGGUUUAAUUCGAUGAUACGCGAGGAACCUUACCCGGGCUUAAAUUGCAGAUGAAUUACGGUGAAAGCCGUAAGCCGCAAGGCAUCUGUGAAGGUGCUGCAUGGUUGUCGUCAGCUCGUGCCGUGAGGUGUCGGCUUAAGUGCCAUAACGAGCGCAACCCUUGUUGUCAGUUACUAACAGGUCAUGCUGAGGACUCUGACAAGACUGCCAUCGUAAGAUGUGAGGAAGGUGGGGAUGACGUCAAAUCAGCACGGCCCUUACGUCCGGGGCUACACACGUGUUACAAUGGGGGGUACAGAGGGCCGCUACCACGCGAGUGGAUGCCAAUCCCCAAAACCUCUCUCAGUUCGGACUGGAGUCUGCAACCCGACUCCACGAAGCUGGAUUCGCUAGUAAUCGCGCAUCAGCCACGGCGCGGUGAAUACGUUCCCGGGCCUUGUACACACCGCCCGUCAAGCCAUGGGAGCCGGGGUACCUGAAGUGCGUAACCGCGAGGAGCGCCCUAGGGUAAAA